AGUGAACGCUGGCGGUAGGCCUAACACAUGCAAGUCGAACGGCAGCACAGUAAGAGCUUGCCCUUACGGGUGGCGAGUGGCGGACGGGUGAGGAAUACAUCGGAAUCUACUUUUUCGUGGGGGAUAACGUAGGGAAACUUACGCUAAUACCGCAUACGACCUACGGGUGAAAGCAGGGGAUCUUCGGACCUUGCGCGAUUGAAUGAGCCGAUGUCGGAUUAGCUAGUUGGCGGGGUAAAGGCCCACCAAGGCGACGAUCCGUAGCUGGUCUGAGAGGAUGAUCAGCCACACUGGAACUGAGACACGGUCCAGACUCCUACGGGAGGCAGCAGUGGGGAAUAUUGGACAAUGGGCGCAAGCCUGAUCCAGCCAUACCGCGUGGGUGAAGAAGGGCUUCGGGUUGUAAAGCCCUUUUGUUGGGAAAGAAAAGCAGCAGGUUAAUACCCCGCUGUUCUGACGGUACCCAGAGAAUAAGCACCGGCUAACUUCGUG
RNAcentral lists this ribosomal RNA (492 nucleotides) under uncultured bacterium. RNAcentral's name for it is "partial 16S ribosomal RNA". It matches the Rfam family "Bacterial small subunit ribosomal RNA", at positions 29 to 507 of the family's 1533-position model. The record is from RNAcentral.